GAGCCACAGAGAUGAAACAGCUGGGAAGAGAGACACAAGUAUUGCAGUAGGUAGGCUGUGGUUAUGAGGUGCCUCAGGAUGUGCUUAUUUUCUUGUUUCCGCCCUUCCCUCGUGCAGCCUUGGAGAGAUGAAGUCCCCAUGGUGUGGAGUGGUGCAAAAAGAGGAAUGGUCCAACAAUUCGGGUUAAUAGGGGACAAGAGAACAAAGGGGUUUCAGAAUAACUGCUAACUGUUAUGACUAUUGCAUGGGGCACUAUGCAAGUCUCUGACAUCCAGCCAAGAUGGACAAAGGAGAAGGACAAGGGAAAAGCCUGGGAGGAAGACUAUGAGCCUUCAGUACGAGAGACCCGCAGAGGGACCACCAGAGACUGGUAACACAUGCGCCAGUGGGCGGGUUCGGAUUCCAGGAACUAGUUAUAAUAACCCUGCCUUUUCUAGAAGUAGUAAUGAAUAUGUAUUAGCCUAGGAGCAUAAAAACCAGCCGCCUGC
Non-coding RNA from Anas platyrhynchos (mallard), 488 nucleotides. Lineage: Eukaryota; Metazoa; Chordata; Aves; Anseriformes; Anatidae. The record is from RefSeq and is a predicted model, not a curated record.